Molecule: non-coding RNA, 75 nt
Organism: Myotis davidii
Lineage: Eukaryota; Metazoa; Chordata; Mammalia; Chiroptera; Vespertilionidae
Source: Rfam
GGUGGUUCUUGGGUGACACACCCCGAAAUAGGGCUCCCUCCCCUCUGGUUCUGGGUGCAUCACCCGAGAAUUGCA